RNAcentral lists this unclassified non-coding RNA (315 nucleotides) under plant metagenome. RNAcentral's name for it is "partial contains 5.8S ribosomal RNA, internal transcribed spacer 2, and large subunit ribosomal RNA". The stretch from base 1 to 105 matches the Rfam family "5.8S ribosomal RNA", at positions 50 to 154 of the family's 154-position model. The record is from RNAcentral.
AAAAUGCGAUAAGUAAUGUGAAUUGCAGAAUUCAGUGAAUCAUCGAAUCUUUGAACGCACAUUGCGCCCGCCAGUAUUCUGGCGGGCAUGCCUGUUCGAGCGUCAUUUCAACCCUCAAGCCCCCGGGUUUGGUGUUGGGGAUCGGGCUGCGGUUCUACCGCGUCCCGGCCCCGAAAUCUAGUGGCGGUCUCGCUGCAGCCUCCAUUGCGUAGUAGCUAACACCUCGCAACUGGAACGCGGCGCGGCCAAGCCGUUAAACCCCCAAGUUCUGAAUGUUGACCUCGGAUCAGGUAGGAAUACCCGCUGAACUUAAGC